This 484-nucleotide ribosomal RNA is filed under the name uncultured bacterium. Its description in RNAcentral is "partial 16S ribosomal RNA". It matches the Rfam family "Bacterial small subunit ribosomal RNA", at positions 29 to 507 of the family's 1533-position model. The record is from RNAcentral.
AUUGAACGCUGGCGGCAUGCUUUACACAUGCAAGUCGAACGGCAGCGCGGUCUUCGUCCUGGCGGCGAGUGGCGAACGGGGGAGUAAUGCAUCUGAACGUGCCCAGUAGUGGGGGAUAGCCCGGCGAAAGCCGGAUUAAUACCGCAUACGACCUGAGGGUGAAAGCGGGGGACCGAAAGGCCUCGCGCUAUGGGAGCGGCCGAUGUCGGAUUAGCUAGUUGGUGGGGUAAGGGCUUACCAAGGCGACGAUCCGUAGCUGGUCUGAGAGGACGACAAGCCACACUGGGACUGAGACACGGCCCAGACUCCUAAGGGAGGCAGCAGUGGGGAAUUUUGGACAAUGGGGGCAAACCUGAUCCAGCCAUGCCGCGUGCGGGAAGAAGGCCUUCGGGUUGUAAACCGCUUUUGUUCGGGAAGAAAUCCUCUGGGCUAAUACCCCGGGGGGAUGACGGUACCGGAAGAAUAAGCACCGGCUAACUACGUG